GACGAACGCUGGCGGCGUGCUUAACACAUGCAAGUCGAACGGAAAGGCCCUGCUUUUGUGGGGUGCUCGAGUGGCGAACGGGUGAGUAACACGUGAGUAACCUGCCCUUGACUUUGGGAUAACUUCAGGAAACUGGGGCUAAUACCGGAUAGGAGCUCCUGCUGCAUGGGGGGGGUUGGAAAGUUUCGGCGGUUGGGGAUGGACUCGCGGCUUAUCAGCUUGUUGGUGGGGUAGUGGCUUACCAAGGCUUUGACGGGUAGCCGGCCUGAGAGGGUGACCGGCCACAUUGGGACUGAGAUACAGCCCAGACUCCUACGGGAGGCAGCAGUGGGGAAUAUUGCACAAUGGGCGGAAGCCUGAUGCAGCAACGCCGCGUGCGGGAUGACGGCCUUCGGGUUGUAAACCGCUUUCGCCUGUGACGAAGCGUGAGUGACGGUAAUGGGUAAAGAAGCACCGGCUAACUACGUG
This 468-nucleotide ribosomal RNA is filed under the name uncultured bacterium. RNAcentral's name for it is "partial 16S ribosomal RNA". It matches the Rfam family "Bacterial small subunit ribosomal RNA", at positions 28 to 507 of the family's 1533-position model. The record is from RNAcentral.